Molecule: ribosomal RNA, 253 nt
Filed under: uncultured bacterium
Lineage: Bacteria
Description: partial 16S ribosomal RNA
Rfam family: Bacterial small subunit ribosomal RNA
Source: RNAcentral
UACGUAGGGUGCGAGCGUUGUCCGGAAUUACUGGGCGUAACGAGCUUGUCGGUGGUUUGUCGCGUUGUUCGUGAAAUCUCACGGCUUAACUGUGAGCGUGCGGGCGAUACGGGUAGACUGGAGUACUGCAGGGGAGACUGGAAUUCCUGGUGUAGCGGUGGAAUGCGCAGAUAUCAGGAGGAACACCGGUGGCGAAGGCGGGUCUCUGGGCAGUAACUGACGCUGAGAAGCGAAAGCGUGGGGAGCGAACAGG